CCUACGGGGGGCAGCAGUAGGGAAUAUUGCUCAAUGGGGGAAACCCUGAAGCAGCAACGCCGCGUGGAGGAUGAAGGUUUUCGGAUUGUAAACUCCUUUUGUUAGAGAAGAUAAUGACGGUAUCUAACGAAUAAGCACCGGCUAACUCCGUGCCAGCAGCCGCGGUAAUACGGAGGGUGCAAGCGUUACUCGGAAUCACUGGGCGUAAAGAGCGCGUAGGCGGGAUGGCAAGUCAGAUGUGAAAUCCUAUGGCUUAACCAUAGAACUGCAUUUGAAACUGUUAUUCUAGAGUGUGGGAGAGGUAAGUGGAAUUCUUGGUGUAGGGGUAAAAUCCGUAGAGAUCAGGAGGAAUACUCGUUGCGAAGGCGACCUGCUAGAACGUAACUGACGCUGAUGCGCGAAAGCGUGGGGAGCAAACAGGAUUAGAUACCCCUGUAGUC
Molecule: ribosomal RNA, 440 nt
Filed under: uncultured bacterium
Lineage: Bacteria
Description: partial 16S ribosomal RNA
Rfam family: Bacterial small subunit ribosomal RNA
Source: RNAcentral